CUUACUAGUUCUGUGACACCAGAAAAGUUAUUGUGGGUUUUGGGGCCUUUCAACAUGUACAAUGGGGUAACAUGCCAGCAUCUCCUUCCUAGGGAACUCAUCAGGUGUGUAUGAGAUAAAACUUGUAAAACUCAUGGUGUGGCAUCCCACGUAGAUAACGCACACACUUAGAGAUAAAAGAAUUAUAAGGAAUGGGAGGUAGCAUAAAAUACAAUUCAAACAAGCCUGUGUCCAGCAGUGUGUUAUUGGAAAGUCACUUCCCCUCUCAGCCCCAUUUUUCAUUCUGCACCAGUAAGAGUUUCCGAUGAAAUGAAAUUCAGAUAUUGUCAUCCUCUGACAUUACUCCUUUCAGUGCCUUCUCAUUAUAUUCAGAAUCAGACCCAUGUCCUUCAUUUUGGCCUAUGUGUUGGGCAGCCUAUAGGAAGGGCUCACAACACUAAGGAGUUAGUGACUCACUUCUGACCAACAGAAUGCAACGAAAAUGAUGGGAUAACACUUCUGUCCUAGGUCACGCUGUUAUAGCAAAGAUAGACUGAGCCGCUUAUCAACAACAGAAUGUUCUUCUUCACAGUUCUGGAGGACAGAAGUUGAAGAUCAGAACGCCAGCAUGGAUGGAGUCUGGACAGAGGCUCCCUUUUCCUACAGUUGGAAUGAGGGAUGGGGAGAUUUGAUGGUGUCCUGUACAAGUUGGAUGUUAAUUUGACGUGGUGCUGCUGGAGAAGCUUGCCUGAGUCAGGCACAUUCUCAGCACGUGGUAUGUGCUGCCCCUUCAAAGCUGCAGGAGUCUCAGAAGUUAUGCUGGCUUCUAUCCACAGCUGCACUCCAGGUGGGGAAUACCUAUGGAUGCACCAGGGUGCAACUACUCAAAGACUCCAGUGUGCAGAAGGGCCCCUGCUCCAUGUUGUUCCCAUAUCCAAGCCCAAGCUCAUCUAGGACUUCAGCAAACCCAAGCUUCCCUGAAUUCCCUGCUGAGACCAAACUGAGCCCUGUGACCCACACUACUACACUGGUUAGCUGCCAGUCCCAGCCCCUGCUCCCUCCUGGGCCCCUGUCUGUACAGUUCUGAAGUCCUACAAGAAUGUUA
Molecule: long non-coding RNA, 1084 nt
Filed under: Homo sapiens (human)
Lineage: Eukaryota; Metazoa; Chordata; Mammalia; Primates; Hominidae
Description: HSALNT0298783
Source: RNAcentral